Molecule: ribosomal RNA, 497 nt
Filed under: uncultured bacterium
Lineage: Bacteria
Description: partial 16S ribosomal RNA
Rfam family: Bacterial small subunit ribosomal RNA
Source: RNAcentral
GAUGAACGCUGGCGGCGUGCCUAAUACAUGCAAGUCGAGCGAACGGACGAGAAGCUUUCUUCUCUGAUGUUAGCGGCGGACGGGUGAGUAACACGUGGAUAACCUACCUAUAAGACUGGGAUAACUUCGGGAAACCGGAGCUAAUACCGGAUAAUAUUUUGAACCGCAUGGUUCAAAAGUGAAAGACGGUCUUGCUGUCACUUAUAGAUGGAUCCGCGCUGCAUUGGCUAGUUGGUAAGGUAACGGCUUACCAAGGCAACGAUGCAUAGCCGACCUGAGAGGGUGAUCGGACACACUGGCACUGAGACACGGUCCAGACUCCUACGGGAGGCAGCAGUAGGGAAUCUUACGCAAUGGGCGAAAGCCUGACGGAGCAACGCCGCGUGAGUGAUGAAGGUCUUCGGAUCGUAAAACUCUGUUAUUAGGGAAGAACAUAUGUGUAAGUAACUGUGCACAUCUUGACGGUACCUAAUCAGAAAGCCACGGCUAACUACGUG